UGCGAACGAAUUUAGUUCCUCCUUAGCCCGCCCCUCCGAAGCCCACCAAACGCCCACGUAGCAGGCUAAGAGCUAUCUUAAGGGGGUACAGCCCCUUUAAAAAAGGAUACAACCUUCGCUAGAGGAUAACUCCACCCCCCCCCCCCAACCAGUGGGCCCUAAAGCAGCCACCCACAAAGAGUGCGUCAAAGCUCAUUAAGCAAAAAUCCAAAGACUAUACGACUCCCUACACCCUCAGCAGGCCAACCUAUAACAAUAGAUGAAUCAAUGCUAGAACGAGUAACCGAGGCACUACGCCUCCUCAAGCGCUAACCUAGACACCAUUAACAGUGCAACCACAAUACCAAGCCCGCCCCGACCAAACAUUGAACACACCCUGUUAACCCAACCCAGGAGCGCACACCUAGGACGAUUAAAAUCUGCAAAAGGAACUCGGCAAACCCAAGGCCCGACUGUUUACCAAAAACAUAGCCUUCAGCCAAACAAGUAUUGAAGGUGAUGCCUGCCCAGUGACACCACGUUCAACGGCCGCG
RNAcentral lists this ribosomal RNA (533 nucleotides) under Poicephalus gulielmi (red-fronted parrot). Its description in RNAcentral is "partial 16S ribosomal RNA". The record is from RNAcentral. Lineage: Eukaryota; Metazoa; Chordata; Aves; Psittaciformes; Psittacidae.